This 207-nucleotide unclassified non-coding RNA is filed under the name uncultured Agaricaceae. Its description in RNAcentral is "sequence contains ITS2". Lineage: Eukaryota; Fungi; Basidiomycota; Agaricomycetes; Agaricales; Agaricaceae. The record is from RNAcentral.
AAUUCUCAACUCCUCUAGUUAUUGUGACUCAGAUGGAGCUUGGAUGUGGGGGUUUUGCGGGCCCAGCUUACAUUGGGUCGGCUCCUCUGAAAUGCAUUAGCGGAACCGUUUGCGAUCCGUCACAGGUGUGAUAAUUAUCUACGCCAGUGGGUUGCUCUCUGUCUUGUUCAGCUGCCAACCGUCCGCAAGGACAGACUAUUACUGAAA